UUUUUUCUCAUUCAUCUCCUCAAAUGGUUGAUCUUCCUUCUUUCCUUUUUGUCAUUUCUCAAUCAAACACACAAAAAAAGGCUCUUUCUUUUAGCUGAGUUGGGUUGAUUGCGUAGAAAGAAAAAUGGAAAAGGUAAGAGAUUUGAAGGAAAGGUAACAUUUGUGAUAGCUUCCACUAAGGAAAUUGGCCAUGCUAUUGCACAUAGACUUGGCUUGAGAGUGAAUCUGUUGUCAUCUCUUCUAGCAAGCAGGUUCAAUUUUCUGUUUCCAAGCUCUUUUCUGAUGGAGUUGAUGAUAAAGUCUUCAUCUUUUUCAAUUUGGUAUAUAAAAAAAAGCAUUUUUAUGUAUUUGGGUCACAAAUGGUUUUUUUUUCUUCUAUUUUCAUUUGUAUUUGACUCCUUUUAUGAAGAAGAGAAUGUUCUCUCUGAUCUUUUUAUUAUUAAAAUUUAACGUUAAAUAGAAAGCUGUUCUAUAUAUCUACUCGUAAAAACUUUAUAUAGAAAAAAAAGAGGAAAAAAAAAAACAAAAAUAUUUUAUAGAAGCUACAGAUAACUUGAAGAACCUUACUUUUAAAUUUUUAUAUGUGUUUCUUAAAAAUUAUUUUAAUUUUUACAUAAGUUCAUUUCAGUGUACCAGAAAGUAUUUUUAAUUUUUCGAUGUUUUCUUUCAAAAAUUUUACGGAGAAAUUUAUUUAAACAUGCCCUAAUGAUAGUUGGUAUAAGAAUCAUGUUCGAAUAAAAUCAUUAUAAUGCUUUUCUGGUAAAUAUGCUUGAAUAAAAAAAUUAUGCAAAGUUUUGGAAACUUAAUGUAAAUUUUUUGAUUAUUUAAAAUUAUACAAUUUUAAGUUUUUCAAAAAAUAAAAUUUAAAAUUCCUUCUACUCUAUUUUUUUAUCUUUGAAUCUAUCAUGAUUCUCUACUUAAAGUAUUUUCCGACAAACUUUUCUAUAAGAAAAUUUAAGAAGAAAAAAAUAAUUAAUUUGUUUAUAAAUUAAAAAAUAUAAGUUAAUUUGCAUAAGUUUUUUUCUAUAAUUUUUAUAACAUUUUAUUUUUAAAUUUAUGAAUAAACUAAUAUUAAGUUAGUAAUAAUUUUACCCUAUUUUUUCCCAUUCAGAAGUAAUUAAAAAAAAGAGUCAAUCAUGUACAUAAUAUCUAGCAAAUAUGGAAUUAAACUCCUAAUCAGGUUGAACUUUUUUUUGUAUUAAUAAUAUCAUACACCAAGCUCAUAACAUUAAUUUAAUUUGUUAGGAGAUUUUAAAAUUUAAAAUUUCAUUUGCCACUAAGAGUUUGAAAGCGUUUAACAUAGUUUUGGCUAUUUUUUUUGGAGAGAUCUAUUUUUCCUCUCAAGGACUACAUUUUGUCGUAGUGUCGUAGGAGUUGAAAAUUGUGCUUAAUGCUAUAGUUUGCGCAAAAGUUUUCGAAAAUCUUAUUUUCAAAUUCUCUUCCAUGGUCACUUCGGAUAAAUAUAAUUUUCAAAUUCUUUCCAAUCUCCAUCCUUUUGCAGAGUUUGUAAAAAGCGUUAAAAGCAUCAUCCUUAUGAGUUAGAAAUAGGACCCAAGUUCAACUAGAAAAAUCAUCUACUACUACUAAUCCACAACAUUUACCGCUCAUAAACUGAGUUCUUGUAGGUCUAAAUAAAUCUAAUGAAGCAGCUCAAGAGGUCGUUUAGUUGAAAUGGUGUUUUUACUUUUAAAAGAUUUUUUUGACUUGCUUGCCCUUCAUGCAAGCACUACAAAAGAUUGUAUCGUUGAAUGAUACUUUUGGCAGCCUUCUAACGAGGUCAUAACGUUGCAACUUUGAGAUUAAUCUCAUGCUUGCGUGUCUACAUUUAUUAUGCCAUGCCACUGCCUCAUAUUUCAUAGAUACUAGACAUGAAAUACUUUGAGACUGUAAUUCAUCUAUGUUUAUUUUAUACAAGUUACCUUGCUUGUUAGCUGUAAAUACUAAAGAGUAUUUACACCUACAAGAGAAUGUUAAUUAUUUAAUAACUCCUAAAUUUAAGUUUAAUCCUACACACAAGUACUGACUAGGACAAACAUUACAUGGUUCAACAAUUGAAACUAUUUUAGAAAAAAGAAAUAUACUAAAUGAGCAAAGUCAAUACAUGAUUCAAUAGACUAAAACACAAUAAUGUAAAUAAUUGGUUAAACCCAUUCGGAGGUCCCUAUUUUCGUGUUUUUGUCCCAAUUUCGUCCCCUUCUUAAAAUUUGUACCAAUUAAGUCCCUAAGAUUGAAAAAUUGAAAGAAAUUAACCUCUAUCGUUAAAUGAAGUUAACGGGGUUAAGUUCCAGGUUAGGUGUUAGGGUGAGGUGCCUUUUAUUUGUUACGUGGCAUGCAAAGAAGCUUUGAGCUGGCUUUUAUUUGUCAUGUGGCUUUUAUUAGUGAAUUUAAACAAAACAUUAAAAAAUUGGGAUUUUUGUUACCCAUUUUAAAAGCUUCGAUUAGAUUUGGAAACAUGGUUUAGGGUUCGCUGUUCUUCAAAAUCGAGAUUGGAAAGCAAUUCAAGGUUGGAAAGAGGGAAGUACGAAACGAAGACGCAAGCAUGUCGAUGCAACAUUCUUGUUCAUGGUCCACUUGCAAUGAUUGUCGGAAGCAAUUCCGGUCUAUGACCUCUCGUGGAGAUGGAGGCUGGAAUAGGAAUGAGGGGUCACCGAUUUGUCAUUGUGGAGAGAAGUCUAUGCUUAGGACUGCGAAGACCACUAAGAAUCAAGGCAAACAAUUUUGGAGUUGCCCUAGGUAUAAGGGUAGAGGUGAAAAUGCUGGAUGCAACUAUUUCAAAUGGUGGAGUGAUUCGGGAACUCAAGAAAGUGUUAGUUGUGAGCUGUUGGAAACAAAUGAUGUGAGGCUGAUGAAGAAUUUUGAAAAUGAUGAGAGGUUGAUGAAGACUGUUGAAAACGAAAGGGAUAACAAUGUAGUUGCUGUGCAGAACAUUGUUAUCACUCUUGAAAAGUGGAUGAAAAUUUUGAUUGAGGUUGUUUGUAUUCUAUGCGUAAUCAACAUGAUUGCAGUGACAAUGUUGAUGGGAAGGGCAUGAUAAUCUUCAUAAUCUCUGUCUAAGUAGUGUAGGUGUAAUGUAGGGCAUCCAAGAAUGUAAUAGUUACAGAUGUUAUUUUGGUUGCAAUGUAGUUUUGUUGUGUUUCUUGCAAAUGUAAUAGUUGUAGAUGUAGUUUCUAGCAUUGUUCUUUUAAUGAUAAUAGGUUGUUCUUUUAACUUGGCUGAUGUUCUUGUCUUUUUAAUAUGGCAUUCACAAGUGGUAUGUUCCAAUCAAAUGUGUCAUUGACAACUAAAAGGUUGCAAUGUAAUCAAUCAAAUUGCAUCAUCCAGAUGGCAAUGAAAUCAAAUUGUGUCAUUCAUACAAGUAAUAUAUUCCAAUCAAAAGCGAUCAAAUUGUAACAUCCAGUGAGCAAUGAAAUCAAAUUCUGUCAUUGAUACAACUAAUAUAUUCCAAUCAAAAACUUUCAAAUUGUAUCAUCCAGAUGGCAAUGAAAUCUGGCUUUCAUAUUACAAAAUAGUAGACAUCUAGAUAUUCAUACAAGUAGGAAUAUUUAUAAUAAUGAAAUGUAAAGCAUUGUUUCCAAAAGACUGUUGUAAAAACAGAUGUUCCUAUCUAUUACAUUUCCUUUCAGAAAUAAAAAAACAUUGUUUGAUGUGCUGCACCCUAAGCUAGUGAAGUGGGUGCUUCUCCCUAUGUUUGCAAAACAUCUUAUGAAGUGGGUGCUUCUCCUUGUGACUGCAAAACAACUUGUUCGUCUGCUUUUGGACAAUGUUUUUUGUUGUGACCCACUUCCUGACACUUGCUACAUCUCUUAAGCAAUCCUCCUUUGGUCAUCCUGGUGCUAUCUUUCUUCAACUCCCACUGCUCUGACCUCCUCUUCUUCUUUGGACGACCAGGCAACUUCCUUUUUGAUGGAGGCAUGACAUAUUCAUAUUGGGUUACCUUCCACAUGUUGUUUCCGUUAAUUGGAUAAAUGAUGGAGGAGUAUAUUUGUUGAUAUUUUGAAGUGUGAAAGCAUGCAGGUAUGUAGUCCUCUUCAUUGAGGUUGAGAAAUCUCAUUGUUGUCAAGGCAUGAACACAGGGUAUUCCACUGAGGCUCCAUUUUCUGCAUGAGCAUGAAGAUUCAUCUAUGUUCACCACGUACUUGUCCCUAAUGUGAGACACAUGUCUAACUUCAAAUAACUUUUCUACAAACUAGUUGUCAACAUGAGGCAACAUUAGUAAUGCAUAGUAGGGCCUUAAAUGACUUAAAUGGCUAGUACUGUGUUAAAUGACUUAUAUCACUUUACCUGGGAAUCCAGUACUGUGUUAGUAGGGCCUCCUUUUACAGUAUACUCAGUAUUUUUAGACAAAUGACUGACUUAAAUGAAUUUACCCUUGACCUAUUAGUGGCCCAUCUCUUCAUGAUAUAGAGUCUGAUUUCCUUCAACAUUGUAAUAAUAGGUUUUGUCCUCGUGUGAACCAAAACGCUAUUAAACGCUUCUAACAUGUUAUUGACCAAGGUAUCACAUUGAGUUGUGGUUGUGAACCUUGAUCUGGACCAAAACCUUCAAUGUAAAAAUAAGUCAUACAAUUACUAUUUAAUUUCAUCAGUAUCAAGAAAUGAAAAGUGGGACAUUGGAAUACCUUGGAGCAAUUGCUAUCAAGUGACGAAAUGCAUCUUCGUUUACUUCUCUUAUACUUCGCAUUUCAACCUCCCAUUUCUGCGGGUGUGUUGCCAGUGCUGCCUUCCACAUCAUCUUCUUAAGAUUCUUUUCAGGGAAUUUCUUCUUGAAAUUGGCAUAUAAAUGCCUUACACAAUAUGUGUGUGCAAUUCCAUGAAGUAGAUCGUCUACAGCGUGUAAUAGACCCUGUGAAUGAGACAUCAAUAAGUGAGGUGAUUUCAAUAAUGCAAUUUAUAUCAAGUACCGCGUGAUAUACUUGUUAUACUUGCUUUGGUUCAUUGUUCUGCCUGCAUAAGAAUCCUACACUCUUCAUUCUCAAUGACCAUCAAACAUCGUCAUCACCCUUACGAAAGUUGUACCGCCCCGAUAGCCCACUUUCUUUGCUCUAAGUUGAUCCAUGACUCCAUCUUUGCACGACCCCAAAAUCAAUAAAUUGUGAGUUAGUAUAUCAUCCUUAACCCCAUUCCUCACCAUGUCUUCGUAAACCUUCCCACCCAUUUCACUGUCUCCAACCCGAACACAUCAACACCAUGGCACGCUGCUGACUCAAACCGCCCAAAUCCAAAAUCACCCAAAACAGUCCCCCAAUACGCCCCAUCUGCUUCAAUACGCACAAAAUCACAUAACCAAUAACCAAAAACAAAGAAUAACCAAAAACAAAGAACAGUUGCCAGCACCCAUACACAGAGCAAAACUCAGAAACCAUUUUCUUUAUUCUAUUAUUAUUUAUUCAUCUGCAUUAAGAGUGGCCUAGAUAAUGUUGCUCCCAAUGACGCCAUUGGGGAUGGCGCGAACAUAGGGCGAGAGGGUUUCUCGCUAGCGGUGUGGGGGUGAGAUGAAGAGGGAGUCUCCGAGCGAUUCAAGAGGGCGUGAGUCGCUGUGGAGGGCAUUGUCCCUACCGAUGUAAGCUUGCAGCGACUGACUUUGAGAGUGGUGGCGGCGACUUCCAAUUUCGUUGGUGAUGAGUCGAUAUUUUAUACCAUUAACUUAGUUUUUCGCUCCGAAUUGUGUUGAUGAUUUGCGCUUAAUUCUUAGUUAUUGUGUCAUUUUCACCAUUUGGGCCUAAUUAGACCAAUAAUUCAUAUUUUAAUUAAUUUGAAUUAUUUGAGCUUAAUUAUUCCUAUUUCUAUUUUCAGGGCAAAUUUUGGAACUAUACUUUGGGACUUUUGGAAGGGCACCAAGCAAAUUGAAGAAUUUCCANAAGG
RNAcentral lists this long non-coding RNA (5861 nucleotides) under Vigna radiata. Its description in RNAcentral is "long non-coding RNA (VRAD_LNC011377)". Lineage: Eukaryota; Viridiplantae; Streptophyta; Magnoliopsida; Fabales; Fabaceae. The record is from RNAcentral.